This 503-nucleotide ribosomal RNA is filed under the name uncultured Rhodocyclales bacterium. RNAcentral's name for it is "bacterial SSU rRNA". It matches the Rfam family "Bacterial small subunit ribosomal RNA", at positions 384 to 879 of the family's 1533-position model. Lineage: Bacteria; Pseudomonadati; Pseudomonadota; Betaproteobacteria; Rhodocyclales. The record is from RNAcentral.
UGAUCAGCCAUGCCGCGUGAGUGAAGAAGGCCUUCGGGUUGUAAAGCUCUUUCGGCCGGGAAGAAAUCGCAUCUCCUAAUACGGGGUGUGGAUGACGGUACCGGAAUAAGAAGCACCGGCUAACUACGUGCCAGCAGCCGCGGUAAUACGUAGGGUGCGAGCGUUAAUCGGAAUUACUGGGCGUAAAGCGUGCGCAGGCGGUUUCGUAAGACAGAGGUGAAAUCCCCGGGCUCAACCUGGGAACUGCCUUUGUGACUGCGAGGCUAGAGUAUGGCAGAGGGGGGUGGAAUUCCACGUGUAGCAGUGAAAUGCGUAGAGAUGUGGAGGAACACCGAUGGCGAAGGCAGCCCCCUGGGCCAAUACUGACGCUCAUGCACGAAAGCGUGGGGAGCAAACAGGAUUAGAUACCCUGGUAGUCCACGCCCUAAACGAUGUCAACUAGGUGUUGGGAGGGUUAAACCUUUUAGUACCGUAGCUAACGCGUGAAGUUGACCGCCUGGGGA